Molecule: ribosomal RNA, 494 nt
Filed under: uncultured bacterium
Lineage: Bacteria
Description: partial 16S ribosomal RNA
Rfam family: Bacterial small subunit ribosomal RNA
Source: RNAcentral
GACGAACGCUGGCGGCGUGCCUAAUACAUGCAAGUCGAACGCUGAAGGAGGAGCUUGCUUCUCUGGAUGAGUUGCGAACGGGUGAGUAACGCGUAGGUAACCUGCCUGGUAGCGGGGGAUAACUAUUGGAAACGAUAGCUAAUACCGCAUAAUAGUAGAUGUUGCAUGACAUUUGCUUAAAAGGUGCAAUUGCAUCACUACCAGAUGGACCUGCGUUGUAUUAGCUAGUUGGUGGGGUAACGGCUCACCAAGGCGACGAUACAUAGCCGACCUGAGAGGGUGAUCGGCCACACUGGGGAUGAGCCAGGGCCCAGACUCCUGCGGGAGGGAGCAGUAGGGAAUCUUCGGCAAUGGGCGGAAGUCUGCCCGAGCGACGCCGCGUGAGUGAAGAAGGUUUUCGGAUCGUAAAGCUCUGUUGUGAGGGAAGAACGAGUGUGAGAGUGGAAAGUGCACACUGGGGCGGGAUCGUACCAGAAAGGGACGGCGAACUACGU